GUGCCAGCAGCCGCGGUAAGACGAACCGUGCGAACGUUGUUCGGAAUCACUGGGCUUAAAGGGCGCGUAGGCGGGCCUCCAAGUCCGGGGUGAAAUCCUCCAGCCUAACUGGAGAAGAGCCUCGGAGACUGGGGGCCUCGAGGGAGGUAGGGGCGUGCGGAACUAUGGGUGGAGCGGUGAAAUGCAUUGAUAUCCAUAGGAACUCCGGUGGCGAAGGCGGCACGCUGGACCUCUUCUGACGCUGAGGCGCGAAAGCCAGGGGAGCAAACGGGAUUAGAUACCCCAGUAGUCC
This 292-nucleotide ribosomal RNA is filed under the name uncultured bacterium. Its description in RNAcentral is "partial 16S ribosomal RNA". It matches the Rfam family "Bacterial small subunit ribosomal RNA", at positions 505 to 796 of the family's 1533-position model. The record is from RNAcentral.